AUAUACGCAGCUUCCAGAGCAAAUACAAGUACAGCUUUGAGGAAUCUCGGGAGAAAUUCUGUCUGGGACUAUGAGAUGAGUGUCAUGGAGAGCUGUGGGAUUUAGCACGUUUGUUUUUUGCAUCAGAAAGAUUCUCAAAGCGGUCAGCGAUGUCUGGGAUGGACGGCUCGGUGGAGGAGCUCAACAACGCGACAGAAGUGAACAGCCAGAGUUUCCUGCGCUUCAGCCCUACAGUGUCCGUGUCCACCGGAGUGGCCGCUGCCUCCUACGGACGGACUGCUAAUGUUUACGUCUACAUCUCCAUCUUCCUCAGCCUGCUUCUGUUCCUGCUCACCCUCCUCAUCAUCGCUCUCCACCGGCUGAAGAACAUCAUCUCCUCCAGCUCCUCCUACCCAGAAUGCAGCAGCGACGCCGGCAGCUCCUUCACCAACAUGGAGAUCUGCAGCAUUUCCUCACAGAGAUCCACCGUGUCCUCGCUGUCCUGACAGAACAGAGACACCAUGAGCACACCAUGAUUGCUACACACAUUUGAGACAUCAUUUGCUAUACAUUAGGGCUGCACGGUAUUGGAAAAAUCUGAUAUUGCCAUAUUUUGGUUUUUAGUUGAAGUCAGAAUUAUUAGCCCCCCUGCAUAUAUUUUGCCCUAAUUUCUGUAUAACGGAGAGCAGACUUUCUCAACACAUUUCUAAACAUAAUAGUUUUAAUAACUCAUUUCUAAUAGCUGAUUUAUUUUCUUUGCCAUGAUGACAGUAAAUAAUAUUUGACUAGAUAUUUUUCAAGAUAUUAGUAUUCAGCUUAAAGUGACAUUUAAAGCCUCA
This is a non-coding RNA of Danio rerio (zebrafish), 818 nucleotides long. NCBI's taxonomy places the organism in Eukaryota, Metazoa, Chordata, Actinopteri, Cypriniformes, Danionidae. The record is from Ensembl.